UCCUAAGCAGGGAGAAGAGACUGAUUAAUAUUCCUCCUUUCCACCUGAAGCAGGGAAAAAACUUAAAUGAACUUCCUUUGGGGUUUGUGGAAACAGGGAAUCACAUACCUAACAAGCGUGUGCACAAGAUUUGAGUGUAUUCAGCUGUAUCUACACACAUUUUUGUAAUUAAUCUCUCAUUUUGAAUAGAAAAUGGACAUUUCUGAAGUUAAUGGAUAAGAUAGCUUGCAGUUUCCAUGCAUGGCCUUUCCCAUUCAUUGCUGACAUCAAAUUAGUCAUACCAUUAGAAAGUGAAGUUGAACCUUGACUAUCCACAGCUUUGGCCCUCUGACAAGAGAGCCUCAGGAGCUUGUCACAUUGCUUCUAGUUACAGAUAAAUACACAUCUCCUUCCUGACAGAAGAACUGCGUCCUCAGGAUACUCCUUACAGCUCAAGGCUGAAGGAGGACUGGGUUGCAGACUGCAACUAACAGCAGUUACUGAAAUCUGAAGAGCUGAAGAUUGGUGAAAUUCUGGGGGGGAAGCUGCAAUGCUCAAGUAAUGUGGAGAGGGGAGAAAAGGACCAAAGAGAAGAUCCCUGAUACUAUCUGAGGUGCUGAUUGCAGAGCACGCUACCAACAGCCUCGCAGGCAGUAUUUCCCACAGUAUCUCAUUUUGGAGAGGAAAAUGGUUCAAGAAAGAUUGUAUGGCCGAAGGCACAUUUUGGGAAAUGUAAUGUGUACCUGGAUAGCCUGGAAAUGGACAAGGAUAAAGACACAAGGCAUUUGUUCUGCAGCACCACUAAGGAAGAGCAAUAACACGUACCCUGAAAUACUGGAUUCUUGGCCAACUCUUCAUUCCAUGCUUUCAUUUUUAGGCUCUCAGUUUUCCAAAGGACAAUAUAUAUUUUGUGUGGGAAAGUCUGCUCUUUCGAGAAAAAGAAAGGAUCUUAAUUUCAAGUCUUGACAGACUUUUUCAGCUAGCCUUAGAAAAUCUGAAUUAUACUUAUCAUCAAAAUUGUCUCCUUCACUGCUUUUGUCAGAUUUUUGUUGUUGUUCUUGGUUUGUUUUGUUUAUUUUUAUUUUGGUUUUGGUUCUAGGCUGAUUUCUAUCAAUUUCCAGUAUGUUAUUGAAUCAUAUUUUAGAAGGAACUUGCUGAGACAAGAAUAUGGUAUAUAUUAAAUGAAGGGUUUGUCCUCAAUGCAGUGGCAAAGGGAUGUAGCUGUAGACCAAGUCUAUCAUAUUUCUUAGUGAGAUGGAAGUUGUAAGAAUUUAAUGUUUAUUGAUUUUUAAAAAGCUCAUGGACUUUGAUGAACAUUGGUUUACUGGCAAUUAGACACUUAGGCUAGGCUGAUUGUGCAAGCCUCUUUCAUGGUUAACAGGAAGGAUACUUUUGAGGGAAAUUUCCCCUACCUUCUCAGAUCUCUCCUUAAGAUAUCUGGGUCAAAUAAGCUGUUUCAUGAGCCAUUCAGGUCCAUUCACUGUGGAGGGCAUUGGGAAACUUUCUGUGUGAAACACUUCAGCAUUUCCUUCUGUCAAAAAAGCUGCAACAUCAAUGUUUUGUGCAUAGAAAGUGCUGCACUUCUUCAGUGUCAGAUAAUCACAGCACUCUCUCACACAUCUUGUACAGAUAAUUCUGAAUAUGUGAUAAGCUAUAUCUGCUAUUUUAGGCUUUCUUCAAUAAAUAUCUAGUUGACGUUUUCACCUGAUCUAUAUACACACAGCUACAAUUUAAUAAGCACACCUGCAUUUUAUAUUUUGGGCGAUAUCUACAAAAAGUGUUGCCCCUGGCUUAUUUUUAGUAGUUUAAAAUUAAAAUUUCUCCAGUGCAAGUCUCCAUAAUUGGCCUGGGGAUUCUUUAAGAUAGGGUUGCUGAGAGAACCUUACUUUGGAAAGCUGAGGCAUGUUGCCUCAUCGCAGCUGCUCCUGUAGGUUCAUCAGUUUCUCUUCCCUGGCUUAUGAGAGCAUCUCACCAAUUAUCAAGUGUUCGAGUUUCAGGAUCAGCAAAUUCAGUUUAUUUCAGUGUUUUCAUACAUGAUCAGUCACCUCUGAUCUCUGACUUCUGAAGCCAUUCACUAAUACAGUACCCAAAAGCAAAUCCAAACUCACUCAAAGAGGAUGAGCUUUCUGUGCUGAGAGGUGGCCAGUCUGCUCCUAACACUUCAGUUUUUUAUUUCAGUUUUUGAAAUUCACAGCUCAGUUCUCCUGGGAACUAAAUUCAUAGAUACACUACAUGCAAUAAGCAGAGAACGGGGGAAUGGCUUGUCUGCUAAUAUAAACACAGCUGUGCAUGCUAAGUGGUACAUAAUUGUUUAUACCCACAUUUGGGCUAUCAUGCAACAGACAAAACAAAUAUCUCAAAUCAAAAGAAAAGAAUGUUGUUGUUUCUGUUGUUUCAUUUUACCUAGAAGCACUCAUGCAGAUGUGUGGUUUGGGACCAGAUAAGAAGAAAUACUUUGCAUGCUUUUGCAGAAAUCACAGAAUCACAGAACUGUAGGGGUUGGAAGGGACCUCUGGAGAUCAUCUAGUCCAACCCCCUGCAAAGCAGGCUCCCUAGACCAGGCUGCAGAGGUAGGCAUCCAGGUGGGUCUUCAAUGUCUCCAGAGAAGGAGACUGUCAUUAAUGAAGUUGAAAGUCCUUCAGCAAGGCAUGGGAGUAUUGAAGAACCUCUGAGAAUACUUGUAAUUCCAUAAAUGUCUAAGUGAUCAUCUUUCACCCUAUUUUCCUUCUCUUUCUUUGGACAUGGCUUGUGAGUUUAUUCAAUGAGAAUUUUAUACAUGGCUUUUCUCAGAAAUCCUUGUCUGCAGUGAAUUCUUGGUUCCUACGCCCAGAAUGCUGGCAAAAAGAUGUAAUGAAAAUGUUUCCAUUCCCAAGAGAGAAAAGCACUUUUGU
Lagopus muta (rock ptarmigan) is the source of this 2870-nucleotide long non-coding RNA. RefSeq lists it as uncharacterized. The transcript has 3 exons. Lineage: Eukaryota; Metazoa; Chordata; Aves; Galliformes; Phasianidae. The record is from RefSeq and is a predicted model, not a curated record.